This 622-nucleotide ribosomal RNA is filed under the name Ustilago striiformis. RNAcentral's name for it is "LSU rRNA". It matches the Rfam family "Eukaryotic large subunit ribosomal RNA", at positions 50 to 653 of the family's 3401-position model. Lineage: Eukaryota; Fungi; Basidiomycota; Ustilaginomycetes; Ustilaginales; Ustilaginaceae. The record is from RNAcentral.
ACGGAGGAAAAGAAACUAACAAGGAUUCCCCUAGUAACGGCGAGUGAAGAGGGAAGAGCCCAAGAUUGAAAGCUGGCGUCUUCGGCGUCCGCAUUGUAAUCUCAAGAAGUGUUUUCCGCUUCGGACCAUGCCUAAGUCCCUUGGAAAAGGGCAUCAUAGAGGGUGAUAAUCCCGUACAUGGCAUGGAGCGCCCGAAGCUUUGUGAUACGCUUUCUAAGAGUCGAGUUGUUUGGGAAUGCAGCUCAAAAUGGGUGGUAAAUGCCAUCUAAGGCUAAAUAUUGGGGAGAGACCGAUAGCGAACAAGUACAGUGAUGGAAAGAUGAAAAGAACUUUGAAAAGAGAGUUAAACAGUACGUGAAAUUGCCAAAAGGGAAGGGUAGGAGGUCAGAGAUGCGUUCUGGGAUUCAGCCUUGCUUUUGCUUGGUGUUUUUCCCAAAUUGCAGGCCAACGUCGGUUUUGGGCGCUGGAGAAGGGUGGAAGGAACGUGGCACCCCUCGGGGUGUGUUAUAGCCUUCUACUGGAUACAGUGACCGAGACCGAGGACAGCAGCGUACUCGCAAGAGCGGGCCUUCGGGCACCUUUACGCUUAGGGCGUUGGCAUAAUGGCCCUCUACCACCCGUC